This 253-nucleotide ribosomal RNA is filed under the name uncultured bacterium. RNAcentral describes it as "partial 16S ribosomal RNA". It matches the Rfam family "Bacterial small subunit ribosomal RNA", at positions 524 to 776 of the family's 1533-position model. The record is from RNAcentral.
UACGGGGGGGGCAAGCGUUGUUCGGAAUUACUGGGCGUAAAGGGCUCGUAGGUGGCCAACUAAGUCGGACGUGAAAUCCCUCAGCUUAACUGGGGAACUGCGUCCGAUACUGGAUGGCUUGAGUUCGGGAGAGGUGAGUGGAACUGCGAGUGUAGAGGUGAAAUUCGUAGAUAUUCGCAAGAACACCAGUGGCGAAGGCGGCUCACUGGCCCGAUACUGACGCUGAGGCACGAAAGCGUGGGGAGCAAACAGG